This 1494-nucleotide ribosomal RNA is filed under the name uncultured bacterium. RNAcentral's name for it is "bacterial SSU rRNA". It matches the Rfam family "Bacterial small subunit ribosomal RNA". The record is from RNAcentral.
AGAGUUUGAUCAUGGCUCAGGACGAACGCUGGCGGCGUGCCUAACACAUGCAAGUCUUGGGAGAAAGAGGUAGCAAUAUCUUGAGUAAACCGGCGCAAGGGUGAGUAACACGUAGGUAAUCUGCCCAGAGGACGGGAAUAACUUCGAGAAAUCGAGGCUAAUGCCCGAUGAUUUUCCGAUAUAGCAUUGUAUUGGAAUUAAAUGCCGCAAGGUGCCUUUGGAUGAACCUGCGUCCCAUUAGGUAGUUGGUGAGGUAACGGCCCACCAAGCCGACGAUGGGUAGCUGGUCUGAGAGGACGAUCAGCCACACUGGAACUGAGACACGGUCCAGACUCCUACGGGAGGCAGCAGUGAGGAAUAUUGCGCAAUGCCCGAAAGGGUGACGCAGCGACGCCGCGUGGAGGAUGAAGGCCCUACGGGUCGUAAACUCCUUUUAUGAGGGAAUAACUUCUCGCUAUAGGCGAGAUUGAAUGUACCUCAAGAAAAAGCAUCGGCUAACUACGUGCCAGCAGCCGCGGUAAUACGUAGGAUGCUAGCGUUGUCCGGAUUUACUGGGUGUAAAGGGAGCGCAGGCGGGUUGGUAAGUCGGUGGUGAAAUUCUUAGGCUUAACCUGAGAACUGCCAUCGAUACUGCUAAUCUUGAGUGCAGAAGAGGUUGAUGGAAUUCUAGGUGUAGCGGUGAAAUGCGUAGAUAUCUAGAAGAACACCGAUGGCGAAGGCAGUCAACUGGUCUGCUACUGACGCUCAUGCUCGAAAGCGUGGGGAUCAAACAGGAUUAGAUACCCUGGUAGUCCACGCCCUAAACGAUGAAUACUCGAUGUCGGGSCGCAAGGCUCGGUGUCUAAGCUAACGCAUUAAGUAUUCCACCUGGGGAGUACGAUCGCAAGGUUGAAACUCAAAGGAAUUGACGGGGGCCCGCACAAGCAGUGGAGCAUGUGGUUUAAUUCGAUGCAACGCGAAGAACCUUACCUGGGUUUGAAAGGCUCUGUAAACCGGUGAAAGCCGGCUAGUGUAGCAAUACACGCGGAGUACAGGUGCUGCAUGGCUGUCGUCAGCUCGUGCCGUGAGGUGUUAGGUUAAGUCCUGCAACGAGCGCAACCCCUGCACUUAGUUGCCAUCAGGUAAUGCUGGGCACUCUAGGUGGACUGCCUACGCAAGUAGUGAGGAAGGUGGGGAUGACGUCAAGUCCUCAUGGCCCUUACACCCAGGGCCACACACGUGCUACAAUGGCCACUACAAUGGGCUGCAAAAUCGCAAGGUUGAGCCAAUCCCAUAAAAGUGGUCUCAGUUCGGAUUGAGGGCUGCAACUCGCCCUCAUGAAGCUGGAAUUGCUAGUAAUCGCGGAUCAGCACGCCGCGGUGAAUACGUUCCCGGGCCUUGUACACACCGCCCGUCAAGCCAUGGAAGCUGGGAGUACCCGAAGCCGUUCACCCAACCGCAAGGAGGGAAACGCCUAAGGUAAAAUCAGUGACUGGGGCUAAGUCGUAACAAGGU